Molecule: ribosomal RNA, 223 nt
Filed under: Vibrio sp. Vb0877
Lineage: Bacteria; Pseudomonadati; Pseudomonadota; Gammaproteobacteria; Vibrionales; Vibrionaceae
Description: partial 16S ribosomal RNA
Rfam family: Bacterial small subunit ribosomal RNA
Source: RNAcentral
GGUCCAGACUCCUACGGGAGGCAGCAGUGGGGAAUAUUGCACAAUGGGCGCAAGCCUGAUGCAGCCAUGCCGCGUGUGUGAAGAAGGCCUUCGGGUUGUAAAGCACUUUCAGUCGUGAGGAAGGUAGUGUAGUUAAUAGCUGCAUUAUUUGACGUUAGCGACAGAAGAAGCACCGGCUAACUCCGUGCCAGCAGCCGCGGUAAUACGGAGGGUGCGAGCGUUA